RNAcentral lists this ribosomal RNA (787 nucleotides) under Salmonella enterica. RNAcentral describes it as "partial 23S ribosomal RNA". It matches the Rfam family "Bacterial large subunit ribosomal RNA", at positions 695 to 1483 of the family's 2925-position model. Lineage: Bacteria; Pseudomonadati; Pseudomonadota; Gammaproteobacteria; Enterobacterales; Enterobacteriaceae. The record is from RNAcentral.
UUAAGUUGCAGGGUAUAGACCCGAAACCCGGUGAUCUAGCCAUGGGCAGGUUGAAGGUUGGGUAACACUAACUGGAGGACCGAACCGACUAAUGUUGAAAAAUUAGCGGAUGACCUGUGGCUGGGGGUGAAAGGCCAAUCAAACCGGGAGAUAGCUGGUUCUCCCCGAAAGCUAUUUAGGUAGCGCCUCGUGAAUUCAUCUCCGGGGGUAGAGCACUGUUUCGGCUAGGGGGCCAUCCCGGCUUACCAACCCGAUGCAAACUGCGAAUACCGGAGAAUGUUAUCACGGGAGACACACGGCGGGUGCUAACGUCCGUCGUGAAGAGGGAAACAACCCAGACCGCCAGCUAAGGUCCCAAAGUCAUGGUUAAGUGGGAAACGAUGUGGGAAGGCCCAGACAGCCAGGAUGUUGGCUUAGAAGCAGCCAUCAUUUAAAGAAAGCGUAAUAGCUCACUGGUCGAGUCGGCCUGCGCGGAAGAUGUAACGGGGCUAAACCAUGCACCGAAGCUGCGGCAGCGACGCUUAUGCGUUGUUGGGUAGGGGAGCGUUCUGUAAGCCUGUGAAGGUGGCCUGUGAGGGUUGCUGGAGGUAUCAGAAGUGCGAAUGCUGACAUAAGUAACGAUAAAGCGGGUGAAAAGCCCGCUCGCCGGAAGACCAAGGGUUCCUGUCCAACGUUAAUCGGGGCAGGGUGAGUCGACCCCUAAGGCGAGGCCGAAAGGCGUAGUCGAUGGGAAACGGGUUAAUAUUCCCGUACUUGGUGUUACUGCGAAGGGGGGACGGAGAAGGCU